Molecule: ribosomal RNA, 632 nt
Filed under: Wolbachia endosymbiont of Thrips palmi
Lineage: Bacteria; Pseudomonadati; Pseudomonadota; Alphaproteobacteria; Rickettsiales; Anaplasmataceae
Description: bacterial SSU rRNA
Rfam family: Bacterial small subunit ribosomal RNA
Source: RNAcentral
CGGGGGAAAAUUUAUUGCUAUUAGAUGAGCCUAUAUUAGAUUAGCUAGUUGGUGGAGUAAUAGCCUACCAAGGCAAUGAUCUAUAGCUGAUCUGAGAGGAUGAUCAGCCACACUGGAACUGAGAUACGGUCCAGACUCCUACGGGAGGCAGCAGUGGGGAAUAUUGGACAAUGGGCGAAAGCCUGAUCCAGCCAUGCCGCAUGAGUGAAGAAGGCCUUUGGGUUGUAAAGCUCUUUUAGUGAGAAAGAUAAUGACGGUACUCACAGAAGAAGUCCUGGCUAACUCCGUGCCAGCAGCCGCGGUAAUACGGAGAGGGCUAGCGUUAUUCGGAAUUAUUGGGCGUAAAGGGCGCGUAGGCUGGUUAAUAAGUUAAAAGUGAAAUCCCGAGGCUUAACCUUGGAAUUGCUUUUAAAACUAUUAAUCUAGAGAUUGAAAGAGGAUAGAGGAAUUCCUGAUGUAGAGGUAAAAUUCGUAAAUAUUAGGAGGAACACCAGUGGCGAAGGCGUCUAUCUGGUUCAAAUCUGACGCCGAAGCGCGAAGGCGUGGGGAGCAAACAGGAUUAGAUACCCUGGUAGUCCCCGCUGUAAACGAUGAAUGUUAAAUAUGGGAAGUUUCCUUUCUGUAUUACAGCU